AGCGAACGCUGGCGGCAGGCCUAACACAUGCAAGUCGAACGGACCCUUCGGGGUUAGUGGCGGACGGGUGAGUAACACGUGGGAACGUGCCUUUAGGUUCGGAAUAGCUCCUGGAAACGGGUGGUAAUGCCGAAUGUGCCCUUCGGGGGAAAGAUUUAUCGCCUUUAGAGCGGCCCGCGUCUGAUUAGCUAGUUGGUGAGGUAACGGCUCACCAAGGCGACGAUCAGUAGCUGGUCUGAGAGGAUGACCAGCCACACUGGGACUGAGACACGGCCCAGACUCCUACGGGAGGCAGCAGUGGGGAAUCUUGCGCAAUGGGCGAAAGCCUGACGCAGCCAUGCCGCGUGAAUGAUGAAGGUCUUAGGAUUGUAAAAUUCUUUCACCGGGGACGAUAAUGACGGUACCCGGAGAGGAAGCCCCGGCUAACUUCGUGCCAGCAGCCGCCGCCG
This 449-nucleotide ribosomal RNA is filed under the name uncultured bacterium. RNAcentral describes it as "partial 16S ribosomal RNA". It matches the Rfam family "Bacterial small subunit ribosomal RNA", at positions 29 to 523 of the family's 1533-position model. The record is from RNAcentral.